AGCAGGCGCUUGAUGGCUGCCCUUAUGUUUAACUUUGCACCGCAAAGCUAUGGGGGAGGAAAGUCCGGGCUCCACAGGAUAAGCGUAGCGGGUAACGCCCGUCCAUGAAUUUGGAAUAAUUCAUGAGGAUUGUCUCGCGCGAUAAUCUUAUCGCUUGAGGCCAUUUUCUUGUAGUAAAACGGGAAAAUGAGAGCCACAGAGACGAGUAUCGAUAAAUGAUUCUGCCAUGGGAGUAUAUGGGCCUAGCGGUUCGAUCUCUCUUAUAUUACAGAUGCAUUUAAUCGUGAUGUGAAACGCGGCAAUCUCUACGUGGUGCAAGACCAAAUAGGCUCCGCCAUAGGAAUGGUCCGUUCCUCAGUAAGCGGAGCGGGUUAGGUCGCUACUUUCCUUUAAGUAAGGAAGACGACCCUGUCAGUAAUGGCAGGGCUAGAUAGAUGGCCAUCUGGUGAGUGAGUGAAGAUAGCUAGGCUUUUAGCUUAGAAAUUAUUCGCAUAUAUAAUUUACAUCGCACUCUGUGCUCUGUAAAUUAUAUACUCAUUAACAGAACUCGGCUUAUAAGCGUCUGCUUCUA
RNAcentral lists this RNase P RNA (571 nucleotides) under Candidatus Orphnella occulta. RNAcentral describes it as "RNase P RNA component class A". It matches the Rfam family "Bacterial RNase P class A". From Rfam's summary of the family: Ribonuclease P (RNase P) is a ubiquitous endoribonuclease, found in archaea, bacteria and eukarya as well as chloroplasts and mitochondria. Its best characterised activity is the generation of mature 5'-ends of tRNAs by cleaving the 5'-leader elements of precursor-tRNAs. Lineage: Bacteria; Pseudomonadati; Candidatus Omnitrophota. The record is from RNAcentral.